AAGUCGUAACAAGGUCUCCGUAGGUGAACCUGCGGAGGGAUCAUCAAAGGAUAUUUUAUAUCACAAAAGGAAAGACCUAAAAAAUCUUUCCUCAAACAAACGAUCACAACUAUUGAAUGAAUGAAUGAAAGUUUGAUUUGGCUUAUGAAAAAAAGUGUUUGCCUGAUAAUUCAUCUGAUUUGGAAACAAGAAAAUACAACUUUCAACAACGGAUCUCUUGGCUCUCACAU
Molecule: unclassified non-coding RNA, 230 nt
Filed under: fungal sp.
Lineage: Eukaryota; Fungi
Description: partial internal transcribed spacer region
Rfam family: Eukaryotic small subunit ribosomal RNA (bases 1-46)
Source: RNAcentral